ACUCAAAGGAAUUGACGGGGACCCGCACAAGCAGCGGAGCAUGUGGUUUAAUUCGAAGCAACGCGAAGAACCUUACCAGGGCUUGACAUCCCUCUGACAGACCCGUAACGGGGUUUUCCUUCGGGCAGAGGAGACAGGUGGUGCAUGGUUGUCGUCAGCUCGUGUCGUGAGAUGUUGGGUUAAGUCCCGCAACGAGCGCAACCCUUGUCAUUAGUUGCCAUCAUUUAGUUGGGCACUCUAGUGAGACUGCCGGGGAUAACUCGGAGGAAGGUGGGGAUGACGUCAAAUCAUCAUGCCCCUUAUGUUCUGGGCUACACACGUGCUACAAUGGCCGGUACAACAAGUUGCAAUACCGCGAGGUGGAGCAAAUCUCAAAAACCGGUCCCAGUUCGGAUUGCAGGCUGCAACUCGCCUGCAUGAAGUCGGAGUUGCUAGUAAUCGCAGAUCAGAAUGCUGCGGUGAAUGCGUUCCCGGGUCUUGUACACACCGCCCGU
This 494-nucleotide ribosomal RNA is filed under the name uncultured bacterium. Its description in RNAcentral is "bacterial SSU rRNA". It matches the Rfam family "Bacterial small subunit ribosomal RNA", at positions 899 to 1397 of the family's 1533-position model. The record is from RNAcentral.